CAGAGAGGAGACCCGGGUGGUGGACAGCGACUACACCCAGUUCGCCCUGAUGCUGUCCCGCAGACACACGAGCAGGCUGGCCAUCCUCAGGAUCAGCCUGCUGGGCAGGAGCUGGUUGCUGCCUCCCGGGACGCUGGACCAGUUCAUCUGCCUGGGCAGAGCUCAGGGCCUCUCGGAUGACAACAUUGUCUUCCCAGAUGUGACCGGAGGUGCCCUGGACCUUAGCAGCCUGCCCUGGGUGGCAGCCCCAGCCUUACUACUCAGAGAGCCCCGGCCCCCAAGGCCUGACUCUUCUUGUGGGAGGGCGAGGCUGGUCACCCCAGGCCAGUGUCUGUUGAAGGAUGAAGCAGCUCCUGUCCGGCCCAGCCCUGCCUCACAGCUGCGCGAGCUCUGCCCUCCUCAGCUCUCAAACCUGAAUAAAUGCACCAAGCCCAGA
This 436-nucleotide small RNA is filed under the name Pongo abelii (Sumatran orangutan). Its description in RNAcentral is "processed transcript". The record is from RNAcentral. Lineage: Eukaryota; Metazoa; Chordata; Mammalia; Primates; Hominidae.